AUUGAACGCUGGCGGCACGCCUAACACAUGCAAGUCGAAUGAGCGAAUAUGAGGAAGAAGAAGGGCUUCGGUCUGGGAAAAGAAUUAUGUGAGCGAGUGGCGAACGGGUGAGUAAAACGUAGGAAUUUGCCAUUAAGAGGGGGACAACCACAGGAAACUGUGGCUAAAACCGCAUAGAAACUCUGAGGAGGAAAAGAUGGGAUUCGAAAGAAGCAUCUGCUUGAUGAAAAGCCUACGAUGGAUUAGCUAGUUGGAAGGGUAAAGGCCUCCCAAGGCGACGAUCCAUAGCUGGUUUGAGAGGACGAUCAGCCACACUGGAACUGAGACACGGUCCAGACUCCUACGGGAGGCAGCAGUGGGGAAUAUUGGACAAUGGGGGAAACCCUGAUCCAGCGAUGCCGCGUGUGUGAAGAAGGCCUACGGGUUGUAAAGCACUUUCGUUGGGGAGGAAAAGCUAUUUAUGAAAAGUAAGUAGAAGAGACGUUACCCAAAGAAGAAGCACCGGCCAACUCUGUGCCAGCAGCCGCGGUAAUACAGAGGGUGCAAGCGUUAAUCGGAAUGACUGGGCGUAAAGGGCGCGUAGGCGGUAGGAGAAGUUGUAUGUGAAAUAUCCGGGCUUAACCUGGAGAAGUCAUGCAAAACUGGCUUACUAGAGAGCAGUAGAGGGGAGUGGAAUUUCCAGUGUAGCGGUAGAAUGCGUAGAUAUUGGAAGGAACACCAGUGGCGAAGGCGGCUCCCUGGGCUGUAACUGACGCUGAAGUGCGAAAGCAUGGGGAGCAAACAGGAUUAGAUACCCUGGUAGUCCAUGCUGUAAACGAUGAAGAUUAGCUGUUGGGUUGAAAGAGUCAGUAGCGAAGUUAACACGAUAAAUCUUCCGCCUGGGGAUUACGACCGCAAGGUUAAAACUCAAAGGAAUUGACGGGGGCCCGCACAAGCGGUGGAGUAUGUGGUUUAAUUCGAUGCAACGCGAAGAACCUUACCUACCCUUGACAUCCUAUGAAGUACCAAGAGAAAGGUAUGUGCCCGAAAGGGAACAUAGAGACAGGUGCUGCAUGGCUGUCGUCAGUUCGUGUCGUGAGAUGUUGGGUUAAGUCCCGUAACGAGCGCAACCCUUGUUCUUAGUUACCAACUUUGUAAAAAGGGGACUCUAAGAAGACUGCCACUGAUAAGGUGGAGGAAGGUGGGGACGACGUCAAGUCAUCAUGGCCUUUAUGGGUAGGGCUACACACGUGCUACAAUGGAUAGUACAAAGGGAAGCGAACCUGCGAAGGUAAGCAGAACUCAAAAAGCUAUUCGUAAUCCGGAUUGGAGUCUGCAACUCGACUCCAUGAAACUGGAAUCGCUAGUAAUCGCGGAUCAGCAAGCCGCGGUGAAUACGUUCUCGGGCCUUGUACACACCGCCCGUCACACCAUGGGAGUGUGUUGUACCAGAAGUAGGUAGACUAACCUUCGGGAGGUCGCUUACCACGGUAUGAUACAUAACUGGGGUG
Molecule: ribosomal RNA, 1490 nt
Filed under: uncultured bacterium
Lineage: Bacteria
Description: bacterial SSU rRNA
Rfam family: Bacterial small subunit ribosomal RNA
Source: RNAcentral